GGCUCAGUCGUUCCCAGGGGUCCACUAUACCCUUGGUCUGUGUCAUCUCAGGUGUGCUUGAGCUCCUGGAAUACCUUCGAACUGUCAUGACAUUUUCUGAGGGGGAAAAGACAUGCAAGAUAGCAGUGAUGGGUUGAAACGCUCGGUUCUGCUCUAACUUCCUGAUCUCCUCCCGCAUCUCCAUGAUGACACGGGCCAAGGUGCGGGUUCCCUCCAUGGCGCCGCUGCUGCGCUGCCAGAACCAGGGCUUCCCAAAGAGCGCGGCGGGUUCUUGAUGCGGGUCGUGCCCCAGGACCUCGUGGUGCUGCCCGGCGUUUAACAUGCCGCCUGUACAAUCUCAGUGCGGAUCUUGGCUGUGACUACAUGGUGCCUAUACAGCUGAUCCAUCUACAGGGGAACAGAUCUGCCCGUCGCCCUUGGGGAGGAUGUUUUAUUCAUCAGCACCUGGGUCCAGUUUCUGGAAAACUACACAGGGGACCUUGCACGGCACGUGGGGACCUGAAUCCGCUUUGUGGUUCUGAACGCAACACAGGGACCAUUUGCUAUCUCUUUAGGUGUAAUUUACAAAAAUUAUUUAUGCAGUCCAGUAUCAAACAGCAAUUCCAUGGAUGGGGGUCACUUCUGGAUAGCAUUACCUGUUCAGAAGCAACCUGAGCCAGCCACAGUCCAAGCACACCAAAGCUGGUACAGAAAAGACUAGAACUGAAAUCAGCUGAUUGUGCAAAAUCGCCAAAUGAAGUGAUGAAAAUGUGUCCGACUCUGGAAAGAAGAACUGUCAUAACAUUAAAAAUUAACAAAGCACUCUACGGUGCGAUCAUGACCUGCAAAACAUUGACACCUGAUCACUUGGAUGCAGCACACUCUAGUCAAGCCAAUAUAUUUUGGGUCACUUGCCUUUCAGUGAAAGUUUCCCUUCUCAUCAUUUGGAUCGCAACAAUUAAAAAAAUCAUCCAUUUUCUAUAAGGCUUAUCAUAAUUCAGAAGAGUCUAUCCAAACAAAUACAAGCAAGUAAUCACUCAAUGCUAGCUCUUGAACAUUAACAAAAUUUUAUUUAAAUGUUAUACAUAAAUUUUUAGUUUUUAUCUUUUUUUUUGUGAAGUCAGCUAAACAAAUAUUCAUAUGUAUAUUUUAUUUAAAAAAAGGGAACAUUUCAAAUGUUUUAAAUAUUAAUAUUUCUUAUAUACAAUUCAAAACAGGAAAUAAUAACAGUAACAAUGCAUUUAAAAAUGUUACAAAACAUAACUCUGUUUUCUUUUUUUUUUCUCCCGGUUCUACUUGAAAAUGGGCCUGCUGAUAUUUUGGGGGGGGGAAAUGUUAGCGAGGAUACAAAUUAGCACUGUGGAGCUGCUCUACAUUCAAAAACCGAGCGGACGGGCAUUCAGCUCUUGACACGCUUGAGAAAAUAACACAUUUGGUUUCUUCGCAAUAGCUUCAAAUAUUUUCUUAUUUUUGGGGGCCGGGGGCAAUUCAAACUUUCUUCUUAAAACAUCAAAAAUAGAACACAAAGAGAAGCUGAAUGCACCUCCGGCUCGGUAAGGUCACUGAAAAUAAAGGGCAAGGCUGUGGAGAGAAGGCGCAUGUGUGUGCGUGUGUUUAACUUUUUUUUUUUUUUUGCUUGCCAGUUUUUCAGGGCCGUCCGUCUCUGGAGAACCAAAAAUAAACAGAACCUACCGAUGCAUCAGCUAAUGCGACGUUCAACGACAGGACAACAGACUAGCACGAGCACAGUCUCUACACACUUCUUCCUUUUCUCUUCUUCUACUAUCAAUUGCUGCCCUCACAAAGAACCAAAAGGGAGCAUGGAUUCCCGAUCAGCCGUUCAGAAGGCGCUGUGGCGCUCCGUUCCUGGCUGCCUUGAGUGAGGAAUCUGAAUGGAAAGAAUAAUCACGGGAGAGUUGGAACGCUGGAUUGACUUGUGUAUUGCCCGUUGAAGUUCCAGGAACUUUUAUUUGGACUGUCGUUCCUGGAAAUGUCACAGAGGAACUUUUGGAGCAUGAUUGUGUUUGAAAUGAAAGACCUUGCUAUUUUGCUAGCAUGCUAAAAAAAAAAAAGAAAAGUUCAGGGCUGUUGCUAUUUUGUGCUAGGUCUUGGCUUGGUGGGCGAGGUUAGCGAUGAUUGAAUGAACGAUGGAUAAUUGAGACAGCAGUUCCCACAAUGUUUUCUCCAAAAGUUCCAUCAGGUAAAACAUUUCAACACAUGUUGAGAUGCCAGCGAAUGUUUACGAUGGCAAAUGAGAGCGAUGACAUACCGGUCUUAGACAGAGUGGAAAGAGAGCUGUUAGAGAGAGAGUUGGCGCUGGAGGAGAAAACACGUUUUUGCAGCUGCAAAGUUGGAAGAAAAAAAAAGACAGCCAUGAUAACCGGCAGAUGAUAUGAGGGAUGAGAAGAUGCCAGGAACAUCCGCAAAGUUCAAAACAACAAACCUGCUCGUUCAUGAUGGCGCACAGUUCGCUCAGCAUGUCCCUGUAGUGAGCUCUCAUCUCCUCCUGGUACUCGAGUUGGUCUUCCUUGAUCAGACGCUCGUUCACAUCCAACGCCUGGCCGCACGCUUCGGCAAA
Syngnathus typhle (broad-nosed pipefish) is the source of this 2557-nucleotide long non-coding RNA. RefSeq lists it as uncharacterized. The transcript has 2 exons. NCBI's taxonomy places the organism in Eukaryota, Metazoa, Chordata, Actinopteri, Syngnathiformes, Syngnathidae. The record is from RefSeq and is a predicted model, not a curated record.